ACUUAUUAGUCCUAAUAGUCUUUGUAUGUUGAAUCUUGUAGGUUUUCUCUGUACAAGAUUAUCUCUUUUGUGGGAAAAAAAAAGUUUUUUCACUUCUUUCUUCCCAACUGAGGUUCAUUUAUUUCUUUUUCUUGACUAUUCUGGCUAGAACUGUAAAGUGGCAAAAGUGAACUUCGAGCCUUUUCCUGAGAGGAAAUGCUUUCAGUUUGUGCCACUGAGUAUGAUGUGCAGGUUCUUAUUCCACAAAUUUGGUAGAGUGCUUUUACUUGGAUCCUGACACUCGCUUGAUAUACCAGCAGGAGAAAAGACAAGCAUGUAGAUUAUUUCCUCCCUUGGACUGCAGGAGAGAUGGUUCCAGUGGCUGAGACAUCACCUCCUCCUACUCUCCACCAAUGGCAGGAAAGGGGAUUCCAUUACAAUUCCUCUUCUGUUCACAACACAG
Molecule: non-coding RNA, 442 nt
Organism: Peromyscus maniculatus bairdii (prairie deer mouse)
Lineage: Eukaryota; Metazoa; Chordata; Mammalia; Rodentia; Cricetidae
Source: RefSeq, a predicted model, not a curated record